Molecule: long non-coding RNA, 559 nt
Organism: Capra hircus (goat)
Lineage: Eukaryota; Metazoa; Chordata; Mammalia; Artiodactyla; Bovidae
Exons: 3
Source: RefSeq, a predicted model, not a curated record
GGGAGUCCAGCCAAGGUCCUUCAAAGAGGCCUGGAGGAGAGCUGGACAGGCUGGGCGGGUCCUCUGCAGACCAGCUUGCUGAGGACCAAGGAGGGUCACUGCCCGCCGACAGCACGGAGACCUCCCUGUGGCUCAGGCCCGAGCCGCCAUCAAGAAGGGUGGAGGAGACUGCUCAACAGGGUCUCUGAGCUCACCUCCUCUAUGCCCUAUAUUGGGAGUGACACGCACCAAGCUCUAAAAUGCUUGCAAAGCAACAUACAGGGCCUUCUCUCCCAAUAGAACCGAACAGCGCUAGUAGCCAGCAAGUCUCUUGGGAACAUUUCCACUCUCCCAAUCAAUGCAGGAGCAAUAGAAGAAACCGAAAAAGCAAUAAUUUGAGAGCCAGGUAAUAUUCUAGCUCUGCGGAAUAUACCCCUGAACAGGCAAACACCUCUGUCAUCAUGGAGCUGACAGUCUAAUGGAGAGAGAUGAAGAAGAAAUAAUAUUAGAACAUAUGAGGUAAGGAGUACUAUGGGAAAAAUUGAGGAGGAUAAAAUCGGUUGGGAAAAUAAGAUGGUAA